ACGUUUUAAAGCCCAUAAGGGCCCCUUAAGCCCAGAAUAGAUAAUAUCUACACUGUUAGUAGCGGGUCGUUAUAGCUUGUAUUCAAACUUUGUCACAUUGUCAAUUGCAUCUCUAUGGUUGCAGACUUGUAGUAUAUUUGCCUACAUUUGUCAAGUACUAAUCAUAAAUUCAUAACACUCAAGACUUAAUCCAACUGACAUGUUUUUUUUUUUUUUACUAAAUGUAACCUGUUGUCAUUCACUACCAUAGGUUGGCCACAAAAUUUCAAACUUUCCAUUCUUUAGGGCCUAUGUUUGUCAAUUCUUGGUUCAAACCCAAUCAUCUUUGGUACUCAUUUAUGGUUUCUGUUUCUAGGUUCUCACGAUCGAGUGCAUUGAUUGUUACUUCUUUCUUUCUUUUUUUAUUUCUUUUUUUGGUUCUUACCUCUAGUCCAUCUUCUCACAUCAUGUUCUCCUUGCUGCUGAACAUUUUCUUUCUUGAUUACCCAUCAUUCUGUACCUUAAGGCAUAAUAAGUCUCCUAGCUACCUUAAGAAAUUUGUGUAACAAUAUGCAUCAAUCAAACAACAUCCUAGAAUCAUCUCUCCAUUCAUGUUAGGAUUCAUGCUUUAGUCCAUUUAUAAAUUUGAAAUAAGACAAUUAAGAAUGAAAUUGAAGAUAAUUAUCCAAGACUUUCUCAGUAAAUUGGAAUAUCAAAAAGGACGUCCAAUAGAUUUUAGGUAGUUGAUAAAUGUUUUCUUGAAUUUUGUUGUAUUUAAAAUAUUUCUUCUCAAUAUUGAUAGAUUUUUUAAGGUGAAUCAAGCACACGUUUCUCUUUUUGGGUAAGCUUAUUCAACUAUAUGAUUUGUAACUAAAAUCCCGACUGACAUUGGACUCAUCAAGAGCAUUGAUUUUUCAAGCAAUAAAUUAAUUGGUGAAAUUCCUAUUGAAGUAACUUAUUUGGUAGAAUUGGUGUCAUUUAAUUUAUCAAGAAACAAUUUGACUGGAUCAAUCCCUACAACAAUUGGUCAAUUGAAAUUAUUGGAUUUUCUUGAUCUAUCUCAAAACCAACUUAAUGGUAGAAUUCCGGAUAAUCUUUCUCAAAUAGCCGAUCUAAGUGUUUUAGACCUAUCAAAUAACACCUUGUCAGGUAAAAUUCCAUUAGGCACUCAAUUACAAAGCUUUGAUGCCUCCACAUAUGAGGGAAAUCCUGGACUUUGUGGACCACCUCUUUUGAAAAGGUGUCCUGAAGAUCAACUUGGGGGAGUCUCCUCCACUAGUGGUCUUAGUAGUAAAAAAGAGGUCGACAUUCAAGAUGAUGCAAAUAAUAUAUGGUUUUAUGGAAAUAUUGUUCUUGGAUUCAUCAUCGGAUUUUGGGGAGUUUGCGGCACUUUACUAUUCAAUAGUUCAUGGAGAUAUGCCUAUUUCCAGUUGUUGAGCAAGAUAAAGGAUUGGUUGUACGUGACAACAAUAGUAAAUAUGAAUAGAAUACGAAGGAGCCUGCAAGGUUAAAUGGACUUCAGCUGGGUUGCAUCUCAAGGAUUAGUAGGUGAUAUAUGCUUUUGAGUAACGGGAGUAUUUAUGAUGGGAUAGUUACAUGCCUUAAUGCAAAAGCUUGCCAUCGGAUAAAUGACAUCGGCAUGUAUUAAGUUUGCUUAUUUGGUAGUUAGCAUGACUUUAAGUUUCUCGUGUUAUAUUCUAUUUAGAACUUUUUAAACAUUAAUUGUUGCUAUUAUAUGUUCGACUUUGUAUUUUUUGCUCUCAAAUUUAUUUGUUAUUUUUGUAGAAUCAAAUAUUAGAGACCUUUGUAGGGGAUGCUAAAAAAGACUUCGUCUUAGAAAAAUAUUUUUUUUUUUGCUCAAAAACAAGUUUAUUUUUUGGGAAAUGCAAUGUGAUAAUACCCAUUAGUAUGGAAUGGGAUAUGCUACUACUCAAAACAGAGCACUCUGUUUUUCUGGUUCUCAAUCAUGAAAGCUCCUGUAACACAGAGAGGUCUGAUUUCCAACCGUGAAUCAAAUUGCUUGAGGUACUCCAUAUGCAAAUUGAUGGAAGUCACUUUGGGCAUCAAUCAUCUUCAAGGAACGAUGAUGAUGGGAAUUGGUCAGCGGCGGUAAAGACCAACUAUGGAAAGUUUGUUAAAAAGUUCCCAUUUCUUUAUUUUGGUUUCUGCUUUUGUAAAUAACAGUGUUAUCUAAAAUUUGUGUUGGUUGCUCAAGUUUUGUAAGAGCUAUUCAACCAAUACGAAUCGUUACAUAAUAUGCAUUUUGCAGAAGAUCUGUGAUGAUUUGGAGCUCUCUCCAAUGCUAUACUAGGUUAGAAUUGAAACAAGCAUCUUAUUUAGGAAUAGUUAACAACGACAAAGAAAUGCAAUUUAUAUGUGUUUUUUGUUCCACUGAAUUUUGCAGUAAUCAACUUAUGGAAGAGCUAGAGCUAUUGGAGAAGAAAGUGCUCUUCAUGUUUGCUCAAACAAUUCAGAGGGAAGUUUAGUGAGACAAUUUUUAACUUUAUUUCCAUUUACUCUUUGUCAUGAGAGCAAUUUUUUGUGCAUAAUUGGAGCUUGAGUUUUUGCUUUGGUAGUUGUGAAGUUGCAAACUGUUAUUGGAAUAAGAAGCCUCUACUUUUGCUUGUUACUGAAUAUGAUUUUUUUUUUUAAGAAGUAAAUUUGCUAAUUAUUGUUCUUUUUCUUAGGCACCCAAGAAAAGAGUAUGUACCGUUAGCAAAGACCAAGAGGAAAUUAUUAAAGCUUUAUUUGAGCAGUUUAAAGACCAUAAAAGGUGCACCUACAUGAUUGUAAGUGCUCUAGAUGGUGAUGAUACGUUCACAGCUGCCCAAGUUUCCCAUAAACUUAAGCAACAAUUAGCUUAUGUUCCUCAUCAGAAAAGAGCUGAAGACAACAUGCAUUUGAGAGAUAAAGAUCUUAAUGGAUGUGAUAUAGCCAAAGCACAGUAUUCCAACAAUGAAACGUUGUUUUCCCUAAGAAAAAGGUAACUAUAUUUUUAUGAAUUUCAUGCAAUUUUGUGAAUUAAUCUUAUUUGUGUGAUAUCCCACAUUGAAUGGGGGGAA
Molecule: long non-coding RNA, 3041 nt
Organism: Vitis riparia (riverbank grape)
Lineage: Eukaryota; Viridiplantae; Streptophyta; Magnoliopsida; Vitales; Vitaceae
Exons: 3
Source: RefSeq, a predicted model, not a curated record